Molecule: long non-coding RNA, 192 nt
Organism: Esox lucius (northern pike)
Lineage: Eukaryota; Metazoa; Chordata; Actinopteri; Esociformes; Esocidae
Exons: 3
Source: RefSeq, a predicted model, not a curated record
UUUAAAAAAAUCCAGUAAUCUAGGCCCCAGCUGCCCCAGUGUCAAUGUGUCUUGGCGUUCUGGUUGCCACUGUGCUGAAUGCCACUAUAUAGCAGCUGCAUUGAGGGUGUCGGCUGUGUGUACUGAGUCACUAUGGCUGCCGACCAACUCAUGUUAGGCCCACAGAGCAUUGUCAAAAUUCUGCUUCAUGGA